Molecule: long non-coding RNA, 719 nt
Organism: Cynoglossus semilaevis (tongue sole)
Lineage: Eukaryota; Metazoa; Chordata; Actinopteri; Pleuronectiformes; Cynoglossidae
Exons: 3
Source: RefSeq, a predicted model, not a curated record
UGACAGCCGACCCUCUGGUACUGCGAGGUAGAGUUUCUCAGCGUGACGCAACCGCAGCACCGAUCACUGUGAUAAGACCUGUUCAGAGCAAGAAAACAAACUCUUCAUUACACUGUGAUCAAACAACCCUUACUGCAGGGUCUUUCCUUUAGUCUCCGGCAGCAUGAAGUAAAAGAAUACAGCAGCUAGAACGGCGGUGGUCCCGUAAAGACAGAACAUCCCUGACAGUCCCAAGACAUCUGAGGAACACAAACACACUUCAGGCUCCAAGCAGGGGUUUUUUUUUUUAGUUUGUUUAUUUCCUCUUCAGGAACUCUGAACCUGUCCUGGAGCUGAAUACGGAAACCUGUCUGGACCAGGAUUUGAACCCGCAACCUGCUCUGACAACGAGCCCAAUCUUUCAACUACUCGAACACCAGCCAACCAAAGGGAAAAUAAAUUAGAGAAACUAAAAGUACUGAAGUGGAGUUACUAAUACCUAACAUCCUAACAGUCCCGACAGGUCCUGACAGGUCCUAACAGUCCUGACAGGUCCUAACAGUUCUAACUUAGGUCCUAACAGUCCCGACAGGUCCUAAUAGUCCCGACAGGUCCUAACAGUUCUAACUGUUUAUACUUGAAUGUGAGUUGUGAGAGAAAAAAUAUUUUAACAUUGUUUUUUUUUUUUUCUGAAUAUAUUCUUUUAAGGUGAAUAUAAAUGAAUAUGGAUUAAUCCUCCA